Molecule: ribosomal RNA, 497 nt
Filed under: uncultured bacterium
Lineage: Bacteria
Description: partial 16S ribosomal RNA
Rfam family: Bacterial small subunit ribosomal RNA
Source: RNAcentral
GAUGAACGCUGGCGGCGUGCCUAAUACAUGCAAGUCGAGCGAACAGACGAGGAGCUUGCUCCUCUGACGUUAGCGGCGGACGGGUGAGUAACACGUGGAUAACCUACCUAUAAGACUGGGAUAACUUCGGGAAACCGGGGCUAAUACCGGAUAAUAUAUUGAACCGCAUGGUUCAAUAGUGAAAGACGGUUUUGCUGUCACUUAUAGAUGGAUCCGCGCCGCAUUAGCUAGUUGGUAAGGUAACGGCUUACCAAGGCAACGAUGCGUAGCCGACCUGAGAGGGUGAUCGGCCUCACUGGAACUGAGACACGGUCCAGACUCCUACGGGAGGCAGCAGUAGGGAAUCUUCCGCAAUGGGCGAAAGCUUGACGGAGCAACGCCGCGUGAGUGAUGAAGGUCUUCGGAUCGUAAAACUCUGUUAUUAGGGAAGAACAAAUGUGUAAGUAACUAUGCACGUCUUGACGGUACCUAAUCAGAAAGCCACGGCUAACUACGUG